This 63-nucleotide transfer RNA is filed under the name Phraortes sp. 1 NS-2020. Its description in RNAcentral is "tRNA-Gly". The record is from RNAcentral. RNAcentral also lists the same sequence under 1 other name. Lineage: Eukaryota; Metazoa; Arthropoda; Insecta; Phasmatodea; Lonchodidae.
AUUUAUUUAAUAUAUAAGUAUAUUUAACUUCCAAUUAAAAAGUCUGAUAUCUCAGAAUAAAUA